This 253-nucleotide ribosomal RNA is filed under the name uncultured bacterium. Its description in RNAcentral is "partial 16S ribosomal RNA". It matches the Rfam family "Bacterial small subunit ribosomal RNA", at positions 524 to 776 of the family's 1533-position model. The record is from RNAcentral.
UACGUAGGUGGCAAGCGUUGUCCGGAUUUACUGGGCGUAAAGAGCGCGCAGGCGGUCGUUCAAGUCGCGUGUGAAAGCCCCCGGCUCAACUGGGGAGGGUCACUCGAUACUGAUCGACUUGAAGGCAGAAGAGGGAAGCGGAAUUCCCGGUGUAGUGGUGAAAUGCGUAGAUAUCGGGAGGAACACCAGUGGCGAAGGCGGCUUUCUGGUCUGUUCUUGACGCUGAGGCGCGAAAGCUAGGGUAGCAAACGGG